RNAcentral lists this ribosomal RNA (253 nucleotides) under uncultured bacterium. RNAcentral describes it as "partial 16S ribosomal RNA". It matches the Rfam family "Bacterial small subunit ribosomal RNA", at positions 524 to 776 of the family's 1533-position model. The record is from RNAcentral.
UACGUAGGGUGCAAGCGUUGUCCGGAAUUAUUGGGCGUAAAGAGCUCGUAGGCGGUUUGUUGCGUCGGCUGUGAAAUCCCGAGGCUCAACCUCGGGUCUGCAGUCGAUACGAGCAAACUAGAGUGUUGCAGGGGAGACUGGAAUUCCUGGAGUAGCGGUGAAAUGCGCAGAUAUCAGGAGGAACACCGGUGGCGAAGGCGGGUCUCUGGGCAACAACUGACGCUGAGGAGCGAAAGCGUGGGGAGCGAACAGG